RNAcentral lists this ribosomal RNA (490 nucleotides) under uncultured bacterium. RNAcentral describes it as "partial 16S ribosomal RNA". It matches the Rfam family "Bacterial small subunit ribosomal RNA", at positions 30 to 507 of the family's 1533-position model. The record is from RNAcentral.
AUUGAACGCUGGCGGCAGGCCUAACACAUGCAAGUCGAACGGUAACAGGAAGAAGCUUGCUUCUUUGCUGACGAGUGGCGGACGGGGGAGUAAUGUCUGGGAAACUGCCUGAUGGAGGGGGAUAACUACUGGAAACGGUAGCUAAUACCGCAUAACGUCGCAAGACCAAAAAGGGGGACCUUCGGGCCUCUUGCCCUCGGAUGUGCCCAGAUGGGAUUAGCUAGUAGGUGGGGUAACGGCUCACCUAGGCGACGAUCCCUAGCUGGUCUGAGAGGAUGAUCAGCCACACUGGAACUGAGACACGGUCCAGACUCCUACGGGAGGCAGCAGUGGGGAAUAUUGGACAAUGGGCGCAAGCCUGAUCCAGCCAUGCCGCGUGUAUGAAGAAGGCCUUCGGGUUGUAAAGUACUUUUAGUGGGGAGGAAAGGAGUAAGGUUAAUACCUCGCCGUAUUGACGUUACCCGAAGAAGAAGCACCGGCUAACUCCGUG